UUUGCUAGUUGUUUCACUUGUUUUUUUUUUUUACUCUGGUGGCCAUUCACAUUGUACUGUUUCCUCGUGUAUCACUGUUCCUUGUGAUUUUGACAGUGAGCUCUCAUUCUUUGGAAUGUCAUUUGUAGUAUUCCCUUGAAACUUCACUUGAUAGUGGAUAGCAUUUUUGUUUCUUACAAGUUCCUGAGGAAACUAAAACCUAAAACAUCUUUGAACUAAUGAAUUACUAGUAGCCUUUUUGAACUACCUAGAUGAUAUGACUUUAGUUUGCAAAUGCUCUUGUACUGAUUUGUUAAAAUUAUUGGGAAAGCCUCUUUUCCCCCAAACCCAUUGUCAAGUUUUAAGACAGUUAAUUUUUCUAUUUUCUUCCAGUUAGCCCUUUAAUUGGAGAUUUAGCCCAUCGAGAUUCUAUGCUGGGAGAAUUACCUAUUAAACCUCUUACCUUGAGUAGUUUUGCCUCCUGCCAGCAUAUGUCUUCAACACCAACAGCCUGUGAAAAUUGAAUUUCAAGUUCACUUGAAUUUGGCAAAUAUUUCUUAAGUUUACCUUGCAUUUGAAUCCAUGAGAACCCCUCAAGAAUAUGUUCUACACAGAGUCUGUGGCCCCCGACAACACCACAUAGUGAGUUUUCCUUCUGGAAAGGUGAUGAUAUAAAAAUUCAGUUUCUUAUAACCUCUCUCAGAAGACAAAGAACAUAUCAUGUCAUCAAACUCCGUGAUAAAUCUUUCCUUUUGUUUGUUGUUUGUUUAUUUAUCUUUGAAAUUACAUUUGCUUGUAAUUUAUGUUUCUAUAAAAUAAUAGAGACAUACAAGCAUCUCAGUGUCCCAAAUGAGGUAAGAAAUUUGUGUUUGGAGCUCUUGUAUAAAUUAGAUAAUGAAUCAACCUAUAUUGUUAUUUAAAGGAUCUAUAUUCUAAUGCAGUCAAGAGAGAAUGUCACAAAGAGCCCUCAAACUGGCCAUUUAUUUGUUCCCUGACUCUUUCACUACCUCUUUCAUGUUGGUCCUAUGGUACAGACAGGAAGAUGUCAAUUUUUAGAUAUAAGUAAUUCUGAUAUUGCUU
Felis catus (domestic cat) is the source of this 1059-nucleotide long non-coding RNA. RefSeq lists it as uncharacterized. The transcript is spliced from 2 exons. The record is from RefSeq and is a predicted model, not a curated record. Lineage: Eukaryota; Metazoa; Chordata; Mammalia; Carnivora; Felidae.